GUGGGGAAUCUUAGACAAUGGGCGCAAGCCUGAUCUAGCCAUGCCGCGUGAGUGAUGAAGGCCCUAGGGUUGUAAAGCUCUUUCAGCUGGGAAGAUAAUGACGGUACCAGCAGAAGAAGCCCCGGCUAACUCCGUGCCAGCAGCCGCGGUAAUACGGAGGGGGCUAGCGUUGAUCGGAAUUACUGGGCGUAAAGCGCGCGUAGGCGGACUGAAAAGUUGGGGGUGAAAUCCCGGGGCUCAACCUCGGAACUGCCUUCAAAACUAUCAGUCUGGAGUUCGAGAGAGGUGAGUGGAAUUCCGAGUGUAGAGGUGAAAUUCGUAGAUAUUCGGAAGAACACCAGUGGCGAAGGCGGCUCACUGGUCUGGUACUGACGCUGAGGUGCGAAAGCGUGGGGAGCAAACAGGAUUAGAAACCCUGGUAGUCC
RNAcentral lists this ribosomal RNA (425 nucleotides) under uncultured bacterium. RNAcentral describes it as "partial 16S ribosomal RNA". It matches the Rfam family "Bacterial small subunit ribosomal RNA", at positions 354 to 796 of the family's 1533-position model. The record is from RNAcentral.